RNAcentral lists this ribosomal RNA (465 nucleotides) under Vreelandella stevensii. RNAcentral describes it as "partial 16S ribosomal RNA". It matches the Rfam family "Bacterial small subunit ribosomal RNA", at positions 338 to 795 of the family's 1533-position model. Lineage: Bacteria; Pseudomonadati; Pseudomonadota; Gammaproteobacteria; Oceanospirillales; Halomonadaceae. The record is from RNAcentral.
CCUACGGGAGGCUGCAGUGGGGAAUAUUGGACAAUGGGGGCAACCCUGAUCCAGCCAUGCCGCGUGUGUGAAGAAGGCCCUCGGGUUGUAAAGCACUUUCAGUGAGGAAGAACGCCUGGUGGUUAAUACCCAUCAGGAAAGACAUCACUCACAGAAGAAGCACCGGCUAACUCCGUGCCAGCAGCCGCGGUAAUACGGAGGGUGCGAGCGUUAAUCGGAAUUACUGGGCGUAAAGCGCGCGUAGGUGGCUUGAUAAGCCGGUUGUGAAAGCCCCGGGCUCAACCUGGGAACGGCAUCCGGAACUGUCAAGCUAGAGUGCAGGAGAGGAAGGUAGAAUUCCCGGUGUAGCGGUGAAAUGCGUAGAGAUCGGGAGGAAUACCAGUGGCGAAGGCGGCCUUCUGGACUGACACUGACACUGAGGUGCGAAAGCUUGGGUAGCAAACAGGAUUAGAUACCCUAGUAGUC